GCCAUCUUGCGGCGGGGGCCACCCUGAGGGGGCCGCGGGCACUGCCCCCCGCCCCGCCGAGCGCUGCGGUGCCAAACACUGUCCCUGCCGGACACGGGCGGCCCCCGGGCACCCGAGGGCCCACAGUGCAGUCGGGCUGUUCUGAGGGGACACACACACACACACACAGGGUCACCUGAUGUGAAGGCAGAGCAGACUCGCCAAAGAGAUGCACCAAAGCUCUUUAAGUUGCUUUGAAACAGAAAUGGCAGCCAGGACUCUGCAGUUUUAAAGCAUCUGUUUUGUUCCCUAGAAGAAAUGCACACCAAAGUAGACCACUGGAUCAAUGGGAAAGAAUUCCAUCGUCUUGGAUGGGCUUUGCAUCAUGCCCUGCAGUUGCUUUACCUGUGUUUGGCUGGCAGACUGGCAUCCCUCAGAGAGCUCUCAGGGCACGAGGAACUCAGUGCAAUUCCCUCCAGAGAUCUCCAGAGAAACAUCUGUAGCCACACAGCUCCCAGUGCAUUAUUCUGGGACUCUUUGAUCUGCCUUUGUCCUCCUGAACCUCGCAUGUAGAGAUGAUGGAGCCUUUUCCACUGUGUUGUAAGAACAGAUGUUUUAAAUUCAGGUUUCAGCAGAGCAGUCAAACAGCCUUUCUAAACCUUAAAGAUGGAACCAAGUUUCCUACCCACACCUCCCCUGUGCAGCUGGAGAGCAGAGUGGGUGUCCCUGGGCCCAGGUGCUGCUCCAUCCUUGCCUGCCAGGACACACACAGACCUCUGGGCUUUUUCUGCAGCCGAGACAAACCGUGGAGUUCUGCUGGCCUGAUCCACCCCGGACAGGUGUGUGCAGGCCAGGAUUGGAGGUGGGAUCCCCAGCUGUGUUUUCCUUUGAGCACUCUCUGCCUCCCAGGUGGUGGCACAGGUACAGCACAUGAGCCGCUCUCUGGGCGCUCACAGGUUACCAACGUGAACGUGAAAUGUUUCUCCAUUUUCACAAUAACAAAACUAGAAAACCCUUUACAGCCCAGAGGGUUUAUCUUCUCUCCUCUUUGUUAUAACCUGAAGCCCCAGCCUAAGCCUCUGGUUCUCCUGCAGUUCCCGAGGCAAUGGCAAUGUGGUGUAACCAUGCAGAGACAUCCUGUCGGCUCCUGCAAAGGCCUGGAGCCACGUGUUGUGACACAGCAGGCUGUCCUACAAAAGUACAAGAAGGGAUGGGAACAGCAGAGGCUUUGAGAUUUUAUCCAAACUGGGAGCACUUAGUGGAUGGAUUGCUGAUUGACACUACUUAGUUCUGCUGCCAGUAAUAAACUACAUAUUGUAGCUGCCCUUGAAGCAUAGAUUUACCUUCCUGCCCGCCCUUCUUCCCAAUGCCUCUGCAGUCUGUGUGGCUCCAGGGAUUCCACACAACUGCACUGGUCUCCCAUUGCUCAGCCCCAGCCCACAUCCCUGUUGGGUGAGAACAGUCCCAGCCAGGGCCUGCACAGCCUUUGUGCCACAGCAGUGACUGAAGGGCAUGAGGAGUGUGAUCCUUCCCAGCUAAUCCAGUAAAGAAACAGCAGAACUUCCAUUUCACAGACUCCAUUAAUAACUGUAAAGCUUCUCUCUGUGUUGCUCCUUUAGCUUCUAUCCCCCAAGGAACACUGCCCCUGACACUGUAGCUGUCAUGUACAGCUGGGCCCUUAGAGAACACAGAGAUGACACAAAUGUCUGAGUAAAAAUGAAUGGUGUAUUUAUUGCCUUAAAGUUUUUAAUAACAAUUCAUUGGCAAAAAUUACUUUGACCUCUCUCAGCACAUUAGUUUACAUUUCUAUAGAAAUGUCAGGUGUGCUCUUUCUACUACAGAGCAAGCAGGGAACAGCAGUUUGUAUUUUCAGCUUUCUACCAAAAGCAGCUCUGCUAAAUUCAGGGCAAGACUCUGCUGGCCAGGGACAAAGUUCCGUCUCUCAGAUCUCCAGUGAUAAGUAUCAGUUAACAGUAAUCCUCAGUUUGGGUAAGUUAAGAUGCACUGUUUUCUCUUGUUUUACAGAAGGCAUUUCCAAAACUCUCCCACUGCUAAAUGACAGCCUGAUUUAUUUUCAGAGUCACAUACAAAAAAUGCAGCUGAUCAAAUACAUACCUAGAAAAAUCCAAGAAUGCUUUUCUGAAGUUCUGGCAGAGG
Lepidothrix coronata (blue-crowned manakin) is the source of this 2136-nucleotide long non-coding RNA. RefSeq lists it as uncharacterized. The record is from RefSeq and is a predicted model, not a curated record. The transcript has 4 exons. NCBI's taxonomy places the organism in Eukaryota, Metazoa, Chordata, Aves, Passeriformes, Pipridae.